UACGGGGGGAGCAAGCGUUGUUCGGAUUUACUGGGCGUAAAGGGCGCGUAGGCGGCCACCGCAAGUCACUUGUGAAAUCUCCGGGCUUAACCCGGAAAGGUCAACUGAUACUGCGGGGCUAGAGUGCAGAAGGGGCAACUGGAAUUCUCGGUGUAGCGGUGAAAUGCGUAGAUAUCGGGAGGAACACCAGUGGCGAAGGCGGCUUUCUGGCCUGUUCUUGACGCUGAGGCGCGAAAGCUAGGGGAGCAAACGGG
This 254-nucleotide ribosomal RNA is filed under the name uncultured bacterium. RNAcentral's name for it is "partial 16S ribosomal RNA". It matches the Rfam family "Bacterial small subunit ribosomal RNA", at positions 524 to 776 of the family's 1533-position model. The record is from RNAcentral.